Molecule: long non-coding RNA, 843 nt
Organism: Zingiber officinale
Lineage: Eukaryota; Viridiplantae; Streptophyta; Magnoliopsida; Zingiberales; Zingiberaceae
Exons: 3
Source: RefSeq, a predicted model, not a curated record
UUCCUCACCUUAUCUCGUCGCCGCCCCGAUUCUUCCUCCUCUCUCACGCCGUGUUUACUCUCUGCUCUUCUUCUUCUCCUCAUCUUCUCCAACCGGUGCCCCUUUCUCUUCUUCCGCGUCAUCUUCCCUCCUCUGCCGUCGUCUCCUCGUCGUAGAGGUCCUCACCACGCCGAUUGUCACGAGAGCACCGCCGACAGCAGUCUUUCUCUCCGCGAGCCUCACCAACACCAAGCUCUCUGGGCUAUCAGGCGGCCCGAUCCUCUUCUACUUUUCCCCUUGCGUCUCUGCCCUAGAUGCAGCCGACGUCAUCGCAUCCGACCACAGUACCUGCAAUUUUGGGCGGCUAGCGUCGCCGCCAUCUCUUUCACCGGCUGCCACUUCUUCCUCUUCCAUCUGCCACCGUCGGAGAGCUGAGUACACAGGAGAGUAGGGUUGUUCUUCCGCGUAUCAGCAGUUGCGAGGGGUUACCACGCGUUGCCCCCUUCAAUUGUGCCGUGGCCAUCCGGUCAGCCACAAGGAGAUCCAUUGCUGCGGUGACCCCAUUUGUGCUUGGAUUUGUGCCACUGUCGUGUAUCUGUGAAUUCUGAGGCGGUGAGGGUUGUUGGACAGAUUUACCAUCGUCGAAAGAGCCACAAACUGCUGAUAAGGAUUUUCUCAACAAAAUUGGUUGGUUCAUUAAUCUGUACAAGAGAAGCAAUUUAUCUCAUGGAAUUCGAAGACAGGGAGGGCAAAAGAAGAAAAUGAAGGCAUGCAUGUUAUUAGCUCGAGGAUAGAGGAACAAAUUAUUGAAAGAGAAAAAAAACUUGUUAUUAUAGAGGGAAGAAAAUCUCAAGGAGAUGAUUU